GGACCGUAAUCGGGGCGGCUUAAACAUCAGAUUACUUUAUUUUAUUUUAUUUAUUUUAUUUUUAUUGUGUUUAUUUCCCCCAGUUCCGGGUUCUCUUCGGGGUCACCGAUGGCCCCUCCUUGCCGUGUGCUCGCGGCAGAGACAGGGGAGGCAGCUCUAUGAGUCUUGUUAGGACCUGACCCCAUCUCAGGACCUCCGCCCUCCUGACCUCUUCCAACCCCGCUGACCUCCCACAGGUCCUAAGGCCGUCACGCGGGGGUCAUGUGCCCUGGUCUCCUGGACGGAUGGGGGUCUCGCCCCCAUUGGCCUGGCCGGGAGCGGCCGUGCUUCUGUGUGGGCUCGAUCGUACCCCGUGGGGCGGCUUUUCUAGCUGAGCCCGGGGACGUUCCUGCCCUCUGAGCUGCACGGACCCAGGGGACUCGCGCAUGUGCUGUAUGGGGUGGGGCGUCCUACGCAGCUGCAGGGUGUCUGCCCAUGUCGGAGACAGGCGUCCCUAACCCCAUGUGUGUGCGCGCGGGUUCCCACACCCUCUCUGUUCUGUGUUUGAACUGCAGACAAUCCACAGACCCCCCUCCCCGUGCUCCUGACUGAGGCCCGUCCUGUCCUAGGGAGCCCCCGGUGCCGGUGUGGACUCCACGUGUGUCCCUGUGUGGGGACGUCGGGACUCGUGCUGCCCAGCAGUGACUUGAGGGCAUCUCUCUCCCCCCGUGUCUCAGGGCGGACGUUUCCAGAAGGAGAUUGUACAGAAUCCUCAUGGGAGACAGUUUACCCCGAUACGUGGGCUCCACGGCUGUGACGUGUGGAAUCCACAGCCGUGAGGCGUGGCCUGUGUUCUCCUCUGCAUCUCGGUGCCGCCUUGUUCCGUCUCCCAGACCCAUCUGUCUGGCUUUCAUGUCACGAGGGGUCACCUAGAGGUGUCAGGAGAUGCCCCUCGUGUUGAGAAAGGCGCCAUGUUGGCUUAGGCGCCCGAGUGGUCCCAGAACCUCAUCGUCUUAGAGGAGACGCCGCCGUCCCUUCCUCACCGUCCUCCUGGCUUGGUCGCCUGGCCGGGGCGCACAGUGUGUCUACGUUCUCUGGGAGCACUAAGCGUGGCGUCCCGGGUCGGCACCUCCAUCCUGCGGGAUCCUGUGGUGCCUACGGGGCGAGGUGACCGGGCCUUUCCCAGGACACUUGUCGGCCUCGGCCUUACAGUUCUGCGAGAACAGGCGGUUGUCCCGUCCCGUUUCCGGAGGGUCAUGCAGAUUCUUUUGUCUACACUGAGGUCUCCCUUUACAUUUAAUUUUUUCCUGCACUUUGUCCCUCAGGGGGAAGAGCUUCUUGUCUCUCCUUGUAGACGUCGUCUGCACAUAAAACGUCCAGACCAACCGAAAGUCUCCCACGUCCAGCGCUGGUGGACACGCCAGGCUCCCUGCGGCCUGUUCCGUGCGUGCUUUCCUCGCUUGGGGAAUCGUGAGCAUCUUCCCUCGUCAGCAGCGUGCGGUUGGGUUCGUCGUCUCGGAGGCCAUUGGAGCUCUUGCUGAGCAGAUGGAACACAGGUGGUGUCGGUGUCCCCCCACAGGGGUCGUGGGGCAGCGUGCGGGUCCCCACAUCUCCACCGUCUGUUAUCUGCGUCCUGCGGGUCAGCGGUCUGUGCCCCCCUGAGAAUCUGCUCGGCCUCAGGUCGGCUGUCCGGAGGAGCCUGGCACCUCUGCUUCUGCCUGGGCUGGCGUGUGGCCUUCUCCUUGAGCAGAAGACUGGUUUCCGGGAUCCUGUCAUUUAUUCCUGCUUUUCAUGAUUGCGGAGGGCCAGGGGGCAGUUUUGGAGGCAGGCCGAGAUUCUUCUGGGUUCUUUUCUGGAUUUUCUUGAACCUGGGUCGCCUGCGGAGGGGAUGGGGAGGCUGCCCACGCGUCCUGGGUUCACAGCCUGAUCCAGAGGCCCCGGGGCUUCCCUGAAGUAGUCGGGGGUGUGGGCAAGGUCCCGGCCCUCCACAGGUGUGGCCCACCCUGGGCAGAGACGCGCGGUGUGCACGCCUGUGGUGGGGGGGCUGCUGCAGCACCGGUUUUCAGCCUCUGUGGGGUCCGUUGGGGGAGCAGCACCCCCACCCCCUUCGCCUGGAAGGGGCAUCAACGCGCAGACACGGAUGCCCAGACUCCGGGACACGGGGCGCCACCCCCUGCUCACUCCGGAACGCGGAGCACCGGCCACCUCCAGACCCGGGGCCCAGGGUGCCCCCCACCGAGGUCCCCCCGACCCUGGACCCCCAGGCUCCGACGGCCCCCUCCUCCUCCGCUGUUGCAGAAGCACGUACACGCACGGCCUGGGCCGCGACCCCGCCCGGGUCAUCUGCGGCCCCACCUCGCCCACCCCCCUUCGCGCUCAAGCUCGGCUUCCAAGGUGCCCGAGACGCCGCGCCCAGGAUCACAGGCACCGGCUGGCCUCCGCCCUCUCCGAGGCUUCCCUGGAGGAGCUGGAGCCGCCGGGCCACCAGCGCUGCCGCAACCUCGGCUCCCUGCUCGUGCUCGCUGAGUUCCGCAGGAUCCCGCCGGCUGAGCGUGGGGCCGCGUGAACCUACACCGGCCCAGGGUCCCGGAGCCCAAUCUGACCCUGCCGGUGACCUCUCUGCCUGGUCCUCCCUGGGCUGCCACCGCCCCCACUUCCUGUCACUUUCUCACUCGCCCACUUCCAGGACUCCAUCUCCGAGGACAUGCCAGCCUUCUGGGAAGGGAACGUGAACCCCUGCUCAUCUACCUUAGGGCCCUCAUGAGGACGAACGACGUGGCCCUAGGGGAGGAGGAACCCGCUGCCAAUCCGUUUGACGCCAGAUGCAAAGACAGCAAGCAUCCUCGAGAGCUGCCUGUGGGAAGGUGCUACCCCUGGACACCAGACACCCUGGCCAGCUGCACUGCAGCCGACAGAGACCCAAGGAACCCGUCCAGGGGCUGCAAGGCCAAGAGGGACACCUCUGAUGUCAACGUCCUGUCCUUCGAGGACUCCGAGAACUCUUCCGAUGAAGACAUCGACGUGCGUGUCUCUACCCAGGGGGGGGUGUCUGACUGCAGACGACUCACACCCCGGGUGGGACUCAGGCUGAGUUCCUCUUUCGUGGCCACGUUCUGCGUCCACGGCUGGCGGUCCUGGGCCGCAGCCUCUGAGUGCGGGUGACCUGGGUCCUCGGGGCCUCCGGACUGUGAGGUGCAUGACAGUGACCCUGCCAUCUGCUCCUGUGGAGCCAGCACCCCGUGCAUGGGGCAGGGCCACAGGACCGUCGACCCUCGGGGUGCCCACCUGCCCAGAUGCCUGCCUGCCUGCGGCUUCCUCGCGGGGCUCUGGCUGCCCGCUGCCCUCGGCUCAGCUGGGAGGAAGGUUCCGGAACCACUCUGCUCCUCUCUGCAGAGUGUGGUGCCACCUCCCUCACCCCGCAUGGUCCUGCUCCGUGUGGGCCACCGGCUCCUCCUCUCACGGCCCAGGGCCCUGUUGCCGAGCGUUGUGUCGUGUCCAGCGCCGUGGGCCCAGCUGGGGGGCAGGAGGGACUCACCCGCGGCCUGGACACUUUAGACGGGCUGCGCCUGACUGGGGUGGUGGUGGGAGGGGCCGAGGCUGCAGCCCAGGGGAGGAGGCCCGUGGGGUUGUCCCUGGAGGUCCACUCGUUGGCAGCCCUGCCCACGGACACCUGGGGUGGGGCCGCUCGCGCCCUCUGGAUCUCAUGUUGGUGCCAAACCACGGCCAGCGCCCACCUGAACGCCAGAGGGGACGACCCCUUGAGGCCAACCUGAGAGCAGAUGGGGAGACCGGACGUUGGGGUGGGACGGCGGGGGUGUGUGGGGGGGUGUCUCCCUUUUUCUGUCUGCAGGGGCGGAUUCCCCUCUCUGUUGUGCGCAGACGAGAACGGACCCAUGAGAACCGGUCUGCACGUCCCUGCGUGGCCGUGGCUGGGGGCUCGAGGUCGCGGCUCCGGAACAGCCCUGCCCCCCACACGAGGCUGAGUUCCACGGGGUCUCUCUGCACACAGUGGGCCGGGUUGCGGCCUCGGGCGGAGUGUCUAUGCUGUGGGGUCGUGUCCUUUCCCAGGACUCUGGGGGCCGACUAGGGAGGAACCACCCCUGGGGUGGGGUCGGGGUCACCAGGAGGUCAGAGGAGGGUCAGGC
Equus quagga is the source of this 4124-nucleotide RNA transcript. RefSeq lists it as uncharacterized. The record is from RefSeq and is a predicted model, not a curated record. NCBI's taxonomy places the organism in Eukaryota, Metazoa, Chordata, Mammalia, Perissodactyla, Equidae. The transcript is spliced from 7 exons.